Molecule: ribosomal RNA, 506 nt
Filed under: uncultured bacterium
Lineage: Bacteria
Description: bacterial LSU rRNA
Rfam family: Bacterial large subunit ribosomal RNA
Source: RNAcentral
GAGGAUGCCUUGACUCUUACAAGCGAUGAAGGACGUAGUACGACUGCGAUAAGCACCGGGGAGCUGUCUAACAAGCGUUAUAUCCGGUGAUCUCCGAAUGAGGAAACUCGUAGAGGGUUAUGCCUUUACACUGCGAAAGCAGAGCAGACCCAGGGAAGUGAAACAUCUCAGUACCUGGAGGAAAAGAAACCAAUUGAGAUUCCCUUAGUAGCGGCGAGCGAAACGGGAGGAGCCCAAAACUUAUGGUAGCAAUACUAUAGAGGGUUGUAGGGCAGAUACGUCGGUAGUAAUACUGACAUAAGUUACAAAAGAUGCAUAUAGCUGAAUGCGCUGGAAAGCGCAGCCCUAGAGGGUAAUGGCCCCGUAAGCGAAAUAUGUAUCUCUUAUGCGUAUCUGUUCCUGAGUAACUCUGGACAUGAAUAGCUUGAGUGAAUCCGGCGGGACUAACCGCCAAGGCUACAUAUUGUAAGAGAUCGAUAGUGAACUAGUACCGUGAGGGAAAGGUG